This 22-nucleotide microRNA is filed under the name Ornithorhynchus anatinus (platypus). RNAcentral's name for it is "oan-miR-146a-3p". Its record names the gene oan-miR-146a-3p. Lineage: Eukaryota; Metazoa; Chordata; Mammalia; Monotremata; Ornithorhynchidae. The record is from miRBase by way of RNAcentral.
ACCCGUGGGGCUCAGUUCUUGA